This 2883-nucleotide ribosomal RNA is filed under the name Escherichia coli 5-172-05_S4_C2. RNAcentral describes it as "bacterial LSU rRNA". It matches the Rfam family "Bacterial large subunit ribosomal RNA". The record is from RNAcentral. Lineage: Bacteria; Pseudomonadati; Pseudomonadota; Gammaproteobacteria; Enterobacterales; Enterobacteriaceae.
GGUGGAUGCCCUGGCAGUCAGAGGCGAUGAAGGACGUGCUAAUCUGCGAUAAGCGUCGGUAAGGUGAUAUGAACCGUUAUAACCGGCGAUUUCCGAAUGGGGAAACCCAGUGUGUUUCGACACACUAUCAUUAACUGAAUCCAUAGGUUAAUGAGGCGAACCGGGGGAACUGAAACAUCUAAGUACCCCGAGGAAAAGAAAUCAACCGAGAUUCCCCCAGUAGCGGCGAGCGAACGGGGAGCAGCCCAGAGCCUGAAUCAGUGUGUGUGUUAGUGGAAGCGUCUGGAAAGGCGCGCGAUACAGGGUGACAGCCCCGUACACAAAAAUGCACAUGCUGUGAGCUCGAUGAGUAGGGCGGGACACGUGGUAUCCUGUCUGAAUAUGGGGGGACCAUCCUCCAAGGCUAAAUACUCCUGACUGACCGAUAGUGAACCAGUACCGUGAGGGAAAGGCGAAAAGAACCCCGGCGAGGGGAGUGAAAAAGAACCUGAAACCGUGUACGUACAAGCAGUGGGAGCACGCUUAGGCGUGUGACUGCGUACCUUUUGUAUAAUGGGUCAGCGACUUAUAUUCUGUAGCAAGGUUAACCGAAUAGGGGAGCCGAAGGGAAACCGAGUCUUAACUGGGCGUUAAGUUGCAGGGUAUAGACCCGAAACCCGGUGAUCUAGCCAUGGGCAGGUUGAAGGUUGGGUAACACUAACUGGAGGACCGAACCGACUAAUGUUGAAAAAUUAGCGGAUGACUUGUGGCUGGGGGUGAAAGGCCAAUCAAACCGGGAGAUAGCUGGUUCUCCCCGAAAGCUAUUUAGGUAGCGCCUCGUGAAUUCAUCUCCGGGGGUAGAGCACUGUUUCGGCAAGGGGGUCAUCCCGACUUACCAACCCGAUGCAAACUGCGAAUACCGGAGAAUGUUAUCACGGGAGACACACGGCGGGUGCUAACGUCCGUCGUGAAGAGGGAAACAACCCAGACCGCCAGCUAAGGUCCCAAAGUCAUGGUUAAGUGGGAAACGAUGUGGGAAGGCCCAGACAGCCAGGAUGUUGGCUUAGAAGCAGCCAUCAUUUAAAGAAAGCGUAAUAGCUCACUGGUCGAGUCGGCCUGCGCGGAAGAUGUAACGGGGCUAAACCAUGCACCGAAGCUGCGGCAGCGACGCUUAUGCGUUGUUGGGUAGGGGAGCGUUCUGUAAGCCUGCGAAGGUGUGCUGUGAGGCAUGCUGGAGGUAUCAGAAGUGCGAAUGCUGACAUAAGUAACGAUAAAGCGGGUGAAAAGCCCGCUCGCCGGAAGACCAAGGGUUCCUGUCCAACGUUAAUCGGGGCAGGGUGAGUCGACCCCUAAGGCGAGGCCGAAAGGCGUAGUCGAUGGGAAACAGGUUAAUAUUCCUGUACUUGGUGUUACUGCGAAGGGGGGACGGAGAAGGCUAUGUUGGCCGGGCGACGGUUGUCCCGGUUUAAGCGUGUAGGCUGGUUUUCCAGGCAAAUCCGGAAAAUCAAGGCUGAGGCGUGAUGACGAGGCACUACGGUGCUGAAGCAACAAAUGCCCUGCUUCCAGGAAAAGCCUCUAAGCAUCAGGUAACAUCAAAUCGUACCCCAAACCGACACAGGUGGUCAGGUAGAGAAUACCAAGGCGCUUGAGAGAACUCGGGUGAAGGAACUAGGCAAAAUGGUGCCGUAACUUCGGGAGAAGGCACGCUGAUAUGUAGGUGAGGUCCCUCGCGGAUGGAGCUGAAAUCAGUCGAAGAUACCAGCUGGCUGCAACUGUUUAUUAAAAACACAGCACUGUGCAAACACGAAAGUGGACGUAUACGGUGUGACGCCUGCCCGGUGCCGGAAGGUUAAUUGAUGGGGUUAGCCGCAAGGCGAAGCUCUUGAUCGAAGCCCCGGUAAACGGCGGCCGUAACUAUAACGGUCCUAAGGUAGCGAAAUUCCUUGUCGGGUAAGUUCCGACCUGCACGAAUGGCGUAAUGAUGGCCAGGCUGUCUCCACCCGAGACUCAGUGAAAUUGAACUCGCUGUGAAGAUGCAGUGUACCCGCGGCAAGACGGAAAGACCCCGUGAACCUUUACUAUAGCUUGACACUGAACAUUGAGCCUUGAUGUGUAGGAUAGGUGGGAGGCUUGGAAGUGUGGACGCCAGUCUGCAUGGAGCCGACCUUGAAAUACCACCCUUUAAUGUUUGAUGUUCUAACGUUGACCCGUAAUCCGGGUUGCGGACAGUGUCUGGUGGGUAGUUUGACUGGGGCGGUCUCCUCCUAAAGAGUAACGGAGGAGCACGAAGGUUGGCUAAUCCUGGUCGGACAUCAGGAGGUUAGUGCAAUGGCAUAAGCCAGCUUGACUGCGAGCGUGACGGCGCGAGCAGGUGCGAAAGCAGGUCAUAGUGAUCCGGUGGUUCUGAAUGGAAGGGCCAUCGCUCAACGGAUAAAAGGUACUCCGGGGAUAACAGGCUGAUACCGCCCAAGAGUUCAUAUCGACGGCGGUGUUUGGCACCUCGAUGUCGGCUCAUCACAUCCUGGGGCUGAAGUAGGUCCCAAGGGUAUGGCUGUUCGCCAUUUAAAGUGGUACGCGAGCUGGGUUUAGAACGUCGUGAGACAGUUCGGUCCCUAUCUGCCGUGGGCGCUGGAGAACUGAGGGGGGCUGCUCCUAGUACGAGAGGACCGGAGUGGACGCAUCACUGGUGUUCGGGUUGUCAUGCCAAUGGCACUGCCCGGUAGCUAAAUGCGGAAGAGAUAAGUGCUGAAAGCAUCUAAGCACGAAACUUGCCCCGAGAUGAGUUCUCCCUGACUCCUUGAGAGUCCUGAAGGAACGUUGAAGACGACGACGUUGAUAGGCCGGGUGUGUAAGCGCAGCGAUGCGUUGAGCUAACCGGUACUAAUGAACCGUGAGGCUUAACCU